This 548-nucleotide ribosomal RNA is filed under the name Diderma aurantiacum. RNAcentral describes it as "SSU rRNA". It matches the Rfam family "Eukaryotic small subunit ribosomal RNA", at positions 38 to 537 of the family's 1831-position model. Lineage: Eukaryota; Evosea; Eumycetozoa; Physariida; Didymiaceae. The record is from RNAcentral.
UAAAGACUAAGCCAUGCAUGCCUUCGAAUAAGAGGAAGCAAUUCUCUCUGAAUCUGCGAACGGCUCCGCAAACCAGUUGUAAACUAAAGCAAGCAAGCUCAUGAUCCGGCCCUAACGGGUUGGGUUGUGGGUGAUAUGGAUAACCCUGGUAAUUCUGAGGCUAAUACAAGAAUGCAAACCCUGUUUGACCGGCAACGGAAGGGCGGGGAGCGUGUGAAGGUAUGCAAGGAUAUUCCAGGAGGGGGCACACGCUCGGACCGCGACAAAGACAGUCCUGACAAACUCCGGUGCGUCAGGCCUGAGCGGCUCUUGCUACGUGCUUCUGACCUAUCAACUAGAUGGCAGCUUAACGGACAUGCUAUGGUUACAACGGGUACAGAGGAUUAGGGUUCGAUCCUGGAGAGUGGGCCUGAGAGAUUGCUCAUACUUCUAAGGAAGGCAGCAGGCGCGCAACGUUCCCCUUGGGCAAUGCCCGAGGGCGUUAGGGGACAUAUGAAUGGUUGCCUUUUAGGUGGCCAAUUCAAAUGGGUCUGUUCUAAACAGUCUCU